AGAGUUUUGAGAUAUCUGGCUCAUGACGAACGCAUGGGCGUCGUCCCUUAAUCUUCACAUGCCAGUCGAACCGAUGCACCGCUUUCGGGCGGGGAUUAGUGGCGAACGGGUGAGUAACACGUGGGCAAUCUGCCCUGCACUCUGGGACAAGCCCUGGAAACGGGGUCUAAUACCGGAUAUGACCGUCUGCCGCAUGGUGGAUGGUGUAAAGCUCCGGCGGUGCAGGAUGAGCCCGCGGCCUAUCAGCUUGUUGGUGAGGUAGUGGCUCACCAAGGCGACGACGGGUAGCCGGCCUGAGAGGGCGACCGGCCACACUGGGACUGAGACACGGCCCAGACUCCUACGGGAGGCAGCAGUGGGGAAUAUUGCACAAUGGGCGAAAGCCUGAUGCAGCGACGCCGCGUGAGGGAUGACGGCCUUCGGGUUGUAAACCUCUUUCAGCAGGGAAGAAGCGAAAGUGACGGUACCUGCAGAAGAAGCGCCGGCUAACUACGUGCCAGCAGCCGCGGUAAUACGUAGGGCGCAAGCGUUGUCCGGAAUUAUUGGGCGUAAAGAGCUCGUAGGCGGCUUGUCACGUCGGUUGUGAAAGCCCGGGGCUUAACCCCGGGUCUGCAGUCGAUACGGGCAGGCUAGAGUUCGGUAGGGGAGAUCGGAAUUCCUGGUGUAGCGGUGAAAUGCGCAGAUAUCAGCGAGGAACACCGGGUGGCGAAGGCGGAUCUCUGGGCCGAUACUGACGCUGAGGAGCGAAAGCGUGGGGAGCGAACAGGAUUAGAUACCCUGGUAGUCCACGCCGUAAACGGUGGGCACUAGGUGUGGGGCAACAUUCCACGUUGUCCGUGCCGCCGUCUAACGCAUUAAGGUGCCCCCAUGCUGGGGUAGUCCGCCCGCGAUGGCUAAAGACUCAAAGAAAAUGUUCGACUAUAA
RNAcentral lists this ribosomal RNA (924 nucleotides) under Streptomyces sp. Its description in RNAcentral is "bacterial SSU rRNA". It matches the Rfam family "Bacterial small subunit ribosomal RNA", at positions 1 to 928 of the family's 1533-position model. Lineage: Bacteria; Bacillati; Actinomycetota; Actinomycetes; Kitasatosporales; Streptomycetaceae. The record is from RNAcentral.